This 447-nucleotide ribosomal RNA is filed under the name uncultured bacterium. RNAcentral describes it as "bacterial SSU rRNA". It matches the Rfam family "Bacterial small subunit ribosomal RNA", at positions 329 to 792 of the family's 1533-position model. The record is from RNAcentral.
CGCCAGACUCCUACGGGAGGCAGCAGUGGGGAAUAUUGCACAAUGGGGGAAACCCUGAUGCAGCAACGCCGCGUGAGUGAAGAAGUAUUUCGGUAUGUAAAGCUCUAUCAGCAGGGAGGAAGAAGGACGGUACCUGACUAAGAAGCCCCGGCUAACUACGUGCCAGCAGCCGCGGUAAUACGUAGGGGGCAAGCGUUAUCCGGAUUUACUGGGUGUAAAGGGAGCGUAGACGGCAGUGCAAGUCUGAAGUGAAAGCCCCGGGCUUAACCCGGGAAUUGCUUUGGAAACUGUACGGCUGGAGUGCUGGAGAGGUAAGCGGAAUUCCUAGUGUAGCGGUGAAAUGCGUAGAUAUUAGGAGGAACACCAGUGGCGAAGGCGGCUUACUGGACAGUAACUGACGUUGAGGCUCGAAAGCGUGGGGAGCAAACAGGAUUAGAUACCCUAGUA